CAGCAGCCGCGGUAAUACGUAGGUCCCGAGCGUUGUCCGGACUUAUUGGGCGUAAAGCGAGCGCAGGCGGUUAGAUAAGUCUGAAGUUAAAGGCUGUGGCUUAACCAUAGUACGCUUUGGAAACUGUUUAACUUGAGUGCAAGAGGGGAGAGUGGAAUUCCAUGUGUAGCGGUGAAAUGCGUAGAUAUAUGGAGGAACACCGGUGGCGAAAGCGGCUCUCUGGCUUGUAACUGACGCUGAGACUCGAAAGCGUGGGGAGCAAACAGGAUUAGAUACCCCUGUAGUCCCUGUCUCUUAUACA
This 301-nucleotide ribosomal RNA is filed under the name uncultured bacterium. RNAcentral describes it as "partial 16S ribosomal RNA". It matches the Rfam family "Bacterial small subunit ribosomal RNA", at positions 509 to 808 of the family's 1533-position model. The record is from RNAcentral.